UUGGUAUUCUCCCCGCGGGGCUCUGACCGCUGCCGCUCUCAGGCACCUGUCUUUCCUCUCCGUCCCAGAAUGGAGCCAAGACAAGGGAAUAAACGAAAUUCAAUAGUACACGGAGAUCGGGUGUCUGGGCAGCGUCUUGGAAAAACUAUCCACUACAGCAAUCAACAACACAGAAGACAACUUCUGCAACCCUAUCGGGAGAGGAGGGGUUCUCUCCACCACCAGAUUAUUCCUGACUAGUGAUAUAAAUAAAAUCUUUCCUGGUCCAGAAUU
Molecule: long non-coding RNA, 273 nt
Filed under: Homo sapiens (human)
Lineage: Eukaryota; Metazoa; Chordata; Mammalia; Primates; Hominidae
Description: HIF1A antisense RNA 3
Source: RNAcentral